GCCCCUAUGAGUCUAACUCUAGCCCAUCUUCUUCCUUCCUCCAUUUUCUUUCUCUGGCAAAUUUUUUUGAAGUGUUCACACAUGAAAUCAAACACUUCAAUUCAAUACUACAACGCUCAUGUCAGAAAUCUUCUUCAUUAGUCAAUAAAGCUUGCCACAAUAUCUCACAAAAUCUGGAAGAAGCCCCAAAGUUUGAAUUCUCAAUCUUCCUCCAUUAAUGUUUCUUGACCCAAGUUCAUUUUUUUCAAAGGUUAAACUGAUCAACAGUAGGAGCAUAGCUUCCAAUAAUUUCUAUAAAUACCGAUUGAUUUCCAAGAUUUGCCAACACAAACAAAACCAAAAAUCAGAACUUUGUUAACCAAAAAUACCACAAAAUAAACCCACUGCUUUGUUUCCUCCUCUGUUUUGGGCGAGCUCCACCGCAACACCACCACCUGCUGCGUCUUCGUGCACCACGACAGUCACGCAGCAGCCAGCCUCCUAGCCACCUAACACUUCCGCCGACCACCACCGACCCACCCUCACGCACUCCUCUUCUUCUUUCGCUACACCCACUCGCAGCACCAUUCUCUCUCUUCUCGACCCACCUGUGCCGACGCGCCUCCACCGGAACCAACUCCAUCUUCACUCCGACGAAUCCGACGAACCACCCUCAAGCUCACUGCCGCAUCCUCCCUCUCCGGCGACACGCAGCUGCUCCUCUUUUCCCCUGUUUUGUUUUUGCCGCAAGAUUAAGGAAAAAGGGAUAUUACAAGCCUCCCCCGAUUAUCAAAGUUACUAAGCAGGAUUUGAGGUAAUGACGGGGAUGACGGAAUGGCGUAGCAGUGAGGAAUAAUUACUACUUAAAUUAUGCAGACUCUUAUUAAUAUGUAUUCUAAGCUUGAGAAUAUUAGUUUAUGAACCUUAAUUAUGUUUCACCUAGUG
Long non-coding RNA from Beta vulgaris subsp. vulgaris (sugar beet), 924 nucleotides. RefSeq lists it as uncharacterized. The transcript is spliced from 3 exons. The record is from RefSeq and is a predicted model, not a curated record. Lineage: Eukaryota; Viridiplantae; Streptophyta; Magnoliopsida; Caryophyllales; Amaranthaceae.